Molecule: long non-coding RNA, 244 nt
Filed under: Ictidomys tridecemlineatus (thirteen-lined ground squirrel)
Lineage: Eukaryota; Metazoa; Chordata; Mammalia; Rodentia; Sciuridae
Description: lncRNA (ENSSTOG00000034943.1)
Source: RNAcentral
AGAGACCUGAGCCUCAUCCUGUAACCAGGGCUUCUCAGCAAGGAGCUGCACCAGAAGACGAGACAUUCCAGGGUACAAGUGGAAGCUGCAUGCACGUCAACACCCAGACUGCCCCUUCUGCCCCUUCUGUGGACCAACAUUUAAUGAAGGAGGAACAACCUCCAUAUCUCUAUGGCUGAGAGUCUGCAGCUUCUGUAAUCCACCACCAGUCUCCCUUCUGUCUCUCCCCUCCUCUUCCAUCCUC